Molecule: ribosomal RNA, 490 nt
Filed under: uncultured bacterium
Lineage: Bacteria
Description: partial 16S ribosomal RNA
Rfam family: Bacterial small subunit ribosomal RNA
Source: RNAcentral
AUUGAACGCUGGCGGCAGGCCUAACACAUGCAAGUCGAACGGUAACAGGAAGCAGCUUGCUGCUUUGCUGACGAGUGGCGGACGGGUGGGUAAUGUCUGGGAAACUGCCUGAUGGAGGGGGAUAACUACUGGAAACGGUAGCUAAUACUGCAUAACGUCGCAAGACCAAAGAGGGGGACCUUCGGGCCUCUUGCCAUCGGAUGUGCCCAGAUGGGUUUAGCUAGUAGUUGGGGUAACGGCUCACCUAGGCGACGAUCCCUAGCUGGUCUGAGAGGAUGACCAGCCACACUGGAACUGAGACACGGUCCAGACUCCUACGGGAGGCAGAGGUGGGGAAUAUUGCACAAUGGGCGCAAGCCUGAUGCAGCCAUGCCGCGUGUAUGAAGAAGGCCUUCGGGUUGUAAAGUACUUUCCGCGGGGAGGAAGGGAGUAAAGUUAAUACCUUUGCUCAUUGACGUUACCCGCAGAAGAAGCACCGGCUAACUCCGUG